AAGAUAAAGGAGGAUCAACGGAGCAAAGGAUAUAUUCAAGUCGACUUUCAUUCUUCACGUGAUGAUUAGAAGUUUCACACAGCCUUUAGAGCAUCAAAACAUGCAUUUCAGAAUUCAUGAAAUGAGAUUUAAGGUAAACUGGUGAUGAGCUUCACUUGUCAGUUGUCAUACAUCUAUGAGAGAUUUAGAGGGUGUUUAUUUGGAGGAUUAGCCUAUUGAUAGAUAAAAAUAGUAAGACAAAUCCCUUGUUUACUUUGAUGGAUUAUAACUUUGAAAUAUCCCAAUGCCCUUGAUUAUUUUCUAACGUUCAAACUAGUUUUGCUUGAUUAUCAUUCCAUUGAAAGGGUGAGAUUGGAGAUAUCAUACUCUUGAAGAUAAAAAUAUUCAAUCAUGCAAAGUAAACAUCCCUUUAGUAUUUAAGUAGUUGUGCUUUUGAUUGUGAUUGUUAUUGAUAUUUGCUAAGGGGGUGUUUACUUUGCAUAUUGAUAAUAUGUGUGAUUUUUUGGUGACCCGCAUGAGGGUCACCGUUGUGGACAGUCUAAGUAUCAUAGUUUACAUCCUUAGAGCAUCUCCAAUGAAGGAGAAAAC
Molecule: long non-coding RNA, 588 nt
Filed under: Salvia miltiorrhiza (redroot sage)
Lineage: Eukaryota; Viridiplantae; Streptophyta; Magnoliopsida; Lamiales; Lamiaceae
Description: long non-coding RNA (SMIL_LNC002759)
Source: RNAcentral